RNAcentral lists this ribosomal RNA (497 nucleotides) under uncultured bacterium. Its description in RNAcentral is "partial 16S ribosomal RNA". It matches the Rfam family "Bacterial small subunit ribosomal RNA", at positions 28 to 507 of the family's 1533-position model. The record is from RNAcentral.
GAUGAACGCUGGCGGCGUGCCUAAUACAUGCAAGUCGAGCGAACAGACGAGGAGCUUGCUCCUCUGACGUUAGCGGCGGACGGGUGAGUAACACGUGGAUAACCUACCUAUAAGACUGGGAUAACUUCGGGAAACCGGAGCUAAUACCGGAUAAUAUAUUGAACCGCAUGGUUCAAUAGUGAAAGACGGUUUUGCUGUCACUUAUAGAUGGAUCCGCGCCGCAUUAGCUAGUUGGUAAGGUAACGGCUUACCAAGGCAACGAUGCGUAGCCGACCUGAGAGGGGGGGCGGCCAAACUGGAACUGGGACACGGGCCAGACUCCUACGGGAGGCAACAGUGGGGAAUCUUCCCCAAUGGGCGAAAACUUGACGGGGGAAACCCGGGGGGGGGAUGAAGGGCUUCGGAUCGGAAAACCCUUUUUUUAGGGAAAAAAAAAUGUGUAAAGAAAUAUGCACGGCUUGACGGUACCUAAUCAGAAAGCCACGGCUAACUUCGGG